RNAcentral lists this ribosomal RNA (459 nucleotides) under uncultured bacterium. RNAcentral describes it as "partial 16S ribosomal RNA". It matches the Rfam family "Bacterial small subunit ribosomal RNA", at positions 338 to 795 of the family's 1533-position model. The record is from RNAcentral.
CCUACGGGUGGCAGCAGUGAGGAAUAUUGGUCAAUGGACGAAAGCCUGAACCAGCCAUGCCGCGUGCAGGAGUACUGCCCUAUGAGUUGUAAACCUCUUUUGUCCGAGGGCAAAAGCCGAACCUUUCAUGCGGUGGGAGUACUCGAAGAAAAACAAUCCGCUAACUCCCUGCCCGCAGCCGCGGUAAUACGGAGGAUCCGUGCGUUUGCCGGAUUUAUUGGGUUUAAAGGGUGCGUAGGCGGCUUUAUAAGUCAGAGGUGAAAGUGUGGGGCUCAACCACGGAACCGCCUUUGAUACUGGUGGACUAGAGAAUGGUUGCGGCAGGCGGAAUGCGUGGUGUAGCGGUGAAAUGCUUAGAUAUCAGGCAGAACACCGAUUGCGAAGGCAGCCUGCCAAGCUAUGACUGACGCUGAGGCACGAAAGCGUGGGGAGCAAACAGGAUUAGAUACCCUAGUAGUC